ACGGAAGGCAGCAGUGGGGGAUAUUGCGCCAUGGGGGCAACCCUGACGCAGCAACGCCGCGUGAAGGAUGAAGGUCUUCGGAUUGUAAACUUCUUUUGUCAAGGACGCAGUUCUGACGGUACUUGACGAAUAAGCUCCGGCUAACUACGUGCCAGCCGCCGCGGUAAUACGUAGGGAGCAAGCGUUGUCCGGAGUUACUGGGUGUAAAGGGUGCGUAGGCGGCUAGGCAAGUCAGAUGUGAAAUCUAUGGGCUCAACCCAUAGCCUGCAUUUGAAACUGCUUGGAUUGAGUGAAGUAGAGGUAGGCGGAAUUCCCCGUGUAGCGGUGAAAUGCGUAGAGAUGGGGAGGAACACCAGUGGCGAAGGCGGCCUACUGGGCUUUAACUGACGCUGAGGCACGAAAGCGUGGGUAGCAAACAGGAUUAGAUACCCUGGUA
RNAcentral lists this ribosomal RNA (436 nucleotides) under uncultured Ruminococcus sp. Its description in RNAcentral is "bacterial SSU rRNA". It matches the Rfam family "Bacterial small subunit ribosomal RNA", at positions 341 to 792 of the family's 1533-position model. Lineage: Bacteria; Bacillati; Bacillota; Clostridia; Eubacteriales; Oscillospiraceae. The record is from RNAcentral.